Molecule: unclassified non-coding RNA, 375 nt
Filed under: uncultured Eubacteriales bacterium
Lineage: Bacteria; Bacillati; Bacillota; Clostridia; Eubacteriales
Description: contains 16S-23S intergenic spacer region
Source: RNAcentral
UCCCGGUUAACCCGGGCAGUCUCGCUAGAGUGCUCAACUUAAUGGUAGCAACUAACAACAAGGGUUGCGCUCGUUGCGGGACUUAACCCAACAUCUCACGACACGAGCUGACGACAACCAUGCACCACCUGUCUUCCUGCCCCGAAGGGCUUCCCCGAUUAAGGGUAAUUCAGGAGAUGUCAAGUCUAGGUAAGGUUCUUCGCGUUGCUUCGAAUUAAACCACAUGCUCCGCUGCUUGUGCGGGCCCCCGUCAAUUCCUUUGAGUUUUAAUCUUGCGACCGUACUCCCCAGGCGGGGUACUUAUUGUGUUAACGGCGGCACAGGGGGAGUCGAUACCCCCUACACCUAGUACCCAUCGUUUACGGCGUGGACUAC